RNAcentral lists this transfer RNA (69 nucleotides) under Marmota monax (woodchuck). It matches the Rfam family "tRNA". Rfam says of the family: Transfer RNA (tRNA) molecules are approximately 80 nucleotides in length. Their secondary structure includes four short double-helical elements and three loops (D, anti-codon, and T loops). Lineage: Eukaryota; Metazoa; Chordata; Mammalia; Rodentia; Sciuridae. The record is from Rfam by way of RNAcentral.
GGAGUUGUGGCUCAGUGGCAGAGCACUUGCCUAGCAUGCAUGAGGCACUGAGUUCAAUCCCCAGCACCA